This 76-nucleotide transfer RNA is filed under the name Bacillota bacterium. RNAcentral's name for it is "Firmicutes bacterium tRNA-Gly". It matches the Rfam family "tRNA". From Rfam's summary of the family: Transfer RNA (tRNA) molecules are approximately 80 nucleotides in length. Their secondary structure includes four short double-helical elements and three loops (D, anti-codon, and T loops). Lineage: Bacteria; Bacillati; Bacillota. The record is from RNAcentral.
GCGGAUGUAGCUCAGUUGGUAGAGCAUCAGCUUCCCAAGCUGGGGGUCGCGGGUUCGAGUCCCGUCAUCCGCUCCA